CCUACGGGAGACAGCAGUGGGGGAUAUUGCACAAUGGGGGAAACCCUGAUGCAGCGACGCCGCGUGAGUGAAGAAGUAUUUCGGUAUGUAAAGCUCUAUCAGCAGGGAAGAAAAUGACAGUACCUGACCACGAAGCCCCGGCUCACUACGUGCCAGCAGCCGCGGUAAUACGGAGGGGGCAGCGGUUAUCCGGAUUUACUGGGGGUAAUGGGAGCGUAGACGGUUAUGUAAGUCUGGAGUGAAAGCCCGGGGCCCAACCCCGGGACUGCCUUGGAAACUGGGAAACUGGAGUACAGGAGAGGCAGGCGGAAUUCCCGGUGUAGCGGUGAAAUGCGUAGAUAUCAGGAGGAACACCGGCGGCGAAGGCGGCAUGCUGGACUGAAACUGACGUUGAGGCUCGAAAGCGUGGGGAGCAAGCAGGAUUAGAUACCCCUGUAGUC
This 440-nucleotide ribosomal RNA is filed under the name uncultured bacterium. Its description in RNAcentral is "partial 16S ribosomal RNA". It matches the Rfam family "Bacterial small subunit ribosomal RNA", at positions 338 to 795 of the family's 1533-position model. The record is from RNAcentral.